AACGAACGCUGGCGGCAUGCCUAACACAUGCAAGUCGAACGAGACCUUCGGGUCUAGUGGCGCACGGGUGCGUAACGCGUGGGAACCUGCCCUUAGGUUCGGAAUAACUCCCCGAAAGGGGUGCUAAUCCCGGAUAAUGUCUUCGGACCAAAGAUUUAUCGCCGUUGGAUGGGCCCGCGUUGGAUUAGCUAGUUGGUAGGGUAAAAGCCUACCAAGGCGACGAUCCAUAGCUGGUCUGAGAGGAUGAUCAGCCACACUGGGACUGAGACGCGGCCCAGACUCCUACGGGAGGCAGCAGUGGGGAAUAUUGGACAAUGGGCGAAAGCCUGAUCCAGCAAUGCCGCGUGAGUGAUGAAGGCCUUAGGGUUGUAAAGCUCUUUUACCCGGGAUGAUAAUGACAGUACCGGGAGAAUAAGCUCCGGCUAACUCCGUG
Molecule: ribosomal RNA, 433 nt
Filed under: uncultured bacterium
Lineage: Bacteria
Description: partial 16S ribosomal RNA
Rfam family: Bacterial small subunit ribosomal RNA
Source: RNAcentral